UCCCCGCGGCGGCGGCGGUCCGGAGAGAGGGCGAGCCCCGCGCGGCACCGGGGACCGGGCGCUACCACGAGGCCGGGACGCUGGAGUCUGGGCCUCACCACUUGCUGGGCCCUGAUCCUUCUUUUUCUUCUGCCUCCUCACGUCUCCAACCAGAAGGGGAUCUUUUAGUCCUUCACUUCAUGGGGAGCCUUCAGAGAGAGUAAUGCAGCCACAAGAAAGGAUGCCGUUGACCGACACAGUGACUGACAGGCUGCCCUGGCUCAGUUAUCACAGUGCUGAUGCUGUCCAUUCUAAAGGUACAGUACUGUGAUAACUGAAGGAUGGCAGCCAUCUUGCCUUCCAUCAGAGGAUCCUCACCGUGCCCAGGAAGAAAGAAGGCAAAAGAGGAAUGUGAAACAGGUGGCCGGGACCCAGAAACCCUCUUACCCUGUACCUCUGUCGUACUUCUCCAGGGGCAUAGGGAGAGUUGUUCUGCUUCUCUUUGCCUUGUUUUGUAACAUGGGGUAGUUGUUGGGGCAGCAGUGUUGUGCUAAGUGAACAUAUAUUAAGAUCUUUGGAACCUUUAGGAGACUGAAAAUAGGUAAGUAUGAGUUAGUAUUUCUGGAAUGGUAGUCAGAGAACUUUGUACCAUUUUUAUAAAUGUGAAAGGUAACUUAAUUAGAACAGCUUGGCACUUGUUGGUACACUGCUAGAUUUCAAAAUCAGAUUCUACUUACAGGGAGGAAAAAAAGCCCAAUAUGUUGAACAGUAUUGAAAUUAUUACAUAAAUAAAAGUCCAUCAUUGUAGACCGGCUUACUGAAGUGAGGAAAGAAAAAAGUAUAUCUUUGUCUUGAAGGAGUAGAUAGUGACAUCUCAUAUUUCUUUCAGGAUAUUUAGGAUCUGGCCUAAUUCAAAAGAAUAUUUACUGAAUACCUAUGUUAUUGCUGCUGCUGUCACCUUUACAUGAAAAUAAAAUGUAAGUUAUUUUAUUUCUAUCAACUAAGGACUAGUCUAAAGUGAUAUCUGGCACAAAUCGAUUUCAGGAAUAUGAAACUGUAAACACCAAGUCAGCAUCACAUGUACAUGAAAGACUAGGAAAUUUUUUUGUUGUUGUGGCCCACAUUGGAGUGCAGUGGUGUGAUCAUAGCUCACUGCAGCCUUGAUCUCCCAGGCUCAAGCAGUCCUCCCGCCUCAACCUCCCGAGUAGUCCCGAGUAGACUGCAGGCUCAGGCCACCCGCCUGCAAAUUUUUAGUAGAAACAGGAGUUCACUAUGUUGCCAAGGCUGGUCUUGACCUCCUGAGCUUAAUUGAUCCUCCCACCUCAGCCUCCCAAAGCGCUGGGAUUACAGGCAUGAGCCACUACACCCAGCCAUGAUUAGGAAAUUUAACAGAGCACACAUCUUCAACCUCCAUCUUACUCUAGAGAGUACUGCUGGGGGUGAAAGGUGGUUAUUGGAGAACCCAGGAUUUCCCACAUGCCCUCUGCCAAUCAUCCCUCUUCCCUCUCGACUGCUAAGGACACUGUACACAUGUAACAAUAGCAAACAAGAAACAAAGUGCAUGACUUCGAUUAUGUGUUAAAUCACAGUACUGUGCACGGCUCAGGUAAUUUCAUGGAAUGUAUUUUAGGCUCAGAGCCUAAUUGGGUAUGUUACCUCUUCCUAGGCUCAUGUCUGUAUCAGGGAGCCUGUGGAUGUCUGACUGGUGUGGGAACCCAAAGCAGUGACCCAUAUGCUUGAGCAAAGAGAACGGAGAUGGCCGAGGUCAGGCCCUAAUUUGAACCGCAAAGAGAAGAGGGGCCAGGGAGGGGAAAACCAUACGUGAAUUUUGUUUGUUUGUUUUAAAGACAGAGUCUCAGUCUGUCGCCAGGCUGGAGUGCAGUGGCUCAAAUCUUGGCUCACUGCAGCCUCUGCCUCCUGGGGUCAAGCAAUCCUUGGGCCUCAGCCUGCCGAGUAGCUGGGAUUACAGGUGUGCGCCACCGUGCCCAGCUAAUUUUGUAUUUUUGGUAGAGAUGGGGUUUCACCAUGUUAGCCAAACUGGUUUCAAACUCCUGUCCUCAAGUGAUUCUCCUACCUCAGCGUCUCAAAGUGCUGAGAUGACGGGCAUGAGCCACUGCACCCGGCCUCGUGUGACUUUUUAACAUACUGUGAACCUUACCUACUAUCAGCACUGCCAACUCCAUGUCUUAGAUACAGGCCAGGUGUAUUAUUAGGUCCUCCACUGGGACACAAUGGGGAAGAAAGGGAACUGAAAGGGAGUAGGCCUGCUACAGAGAGGUUCUGUCUUGUCCUUCAUUGUGCCAGUCCUCAGACAUUGAUGGUCACUGUAUUCCUUUGCUGGCGAUUGCAGUUCCCUUUAGUGUCUCUUCCCUCUUUACCCAAAGAGGAAUCAUUCUUAGUAGUGACGCCUUGAACCACACUUGGUUGGCCCAGAACUGUUAUUUUUCAGAUACAUUGACCACAUUAUAGCCCAGUACCUUCACAUGUCCUCAUAGAUCCACAAUUUCUCUAAGCUGUGUAAGCUACACUAUGUUUUUCAUUAAUUACAGACAGAGAGGGCUCUCCCCGGUUAUUAUGCUACCACUCCUGAAAUUCCUUGGAGUUUUCUUAUAAGGAAUUUCUGACAGAAACUCUGGAAGAACUUUUAGGAAGGGCAAGUUAUGAGAUUGGUGAAUCCUCAAGUAAUCUGAAACACUCCUAAUAUUUAGUGUUUUAGCAGGUGGAAAAAAAGUGCUUCAAGAAGUAAUGUGUUGUGCAAUCAUUGGCCUUGGUGAAGAUUUCACCACCUUCCCUGAUCUUCCUGUUUUCCCCGUUACUAGUUUUAUAAAAAUUCAUUGGGUUUUAUACUUACCCAACCUUGACCUCAAAAUCUACAGCCAGGCCUGUGGGGUGUUGAAGAACUGAGUGUUGGGCGUCAUUUGCAGUCACCCCUGCGGACAGAGUUGUGCUGGGUCCCCUUUCCUCUAAACAAGAAGGCUGAGGCUCAGUCUGCAGCAGGAGCUCCAGAAGCUUGCCUGGACCUGGAGGUCUUUGGCAUCUUCAAGGCAUUUCUUAGAUGUAAGGUGUUCCAACAGGUUAAGUGAGAAGUGAUGCAAGACAGAUCCGAUGGGGUUUUUCCACUGCCUUGCUUAAAACAUAGUAUGUGUUUGGUUGGUGUAUUCAUUGCAUUUUUCAGUUUAGGUGAAGUAUGUGAGAAUGGGAAGAUUGCAGUUAAACCUAGAAAUACCAUAUAAUCCAGCAAUUCCACUUCUGGAUACAUACCCAAAAGAUGUGAAAGGCGGCAGUCUGACAGAUAUUGUACACCCAUGUUUAUAGCAACAUGAUUCACAAUAGCUAAAAGGUAGGAGCAACCCCAGUGUCCAUUGAUGGAUAAGUAGAUAAAUGAAAUGUAGCGUAUACCUACAUUGGAAUAUGAUUCAGCCUUAAAAGGAAGAAAAUUCUGACAUAUGCUACAACAUGGAUGAACCCUGAAGAUACCAUGCUAAGUGUAAUAAGCCAAACACAAAAGGACAUAUACUGUAUGAUUCCACUCAUAUGAGGCCCCUAGAGUUGUUAAAUUCAUACAGCCGGGAAUCUGAUGGUUGCCAGGAGCUGGGGGAGAGGGAGAAAUGGAGAGUUAGUGUUUAAUGAAGUUGUAUUUGGGGAAGAUGAAAAAAUUCUGGAGAUAGAUGAUGGUAGUUGCACAACACCAUGAAUGUACUUAAUGCCACAAUGUACACCUAAAAAUGGAAAAUUUUAUGUGUAUUUUACCACAAUAAAAGAGAUUCAGGAUAAUAA
RNA transcript from Piliocolobus tephrosceles (Ugandan red Colobus), 3756 nucleotides. RefSeq lists it as uncharacterized. NCBI's taxonomy places the organism in Eukaryota, Metazoa, Chordata, Mammalia, Primates, Cercopithecidae. The transcript is spliced from 2 exons. The record is from RefSeq and is a predicted model, not a curated record.